Molecule: ribosomal RNA, 465 nt
Filed under: Vreelandella stevensii
Lineage: Bacteria; Pseudomonadati; Pseudomonadota; Gammaproteobacteria; Oceanospirillales; Halomonadaceae
Description: partial 16S ribosomal RNA
Rfam family: Bacterial small subunit ribosomal RNA
Source: RNAcentral
CCUACGGGUGGCAGCAGUGGGGAAUAUUGGACAAUGGGGGCAACCCUGAUCCAGCCAUGCCGCGUGUGUGAAGAAGGCCCUCGGGUUGUAAAGCACUUUCAGUGAGGAAGAACGCCUGGUGGUUAAUACCCAUCAGGAAAGACAUCACUCACAGAAGAAGCACCGGCUAACUCCGUGCCAGCAGCCGCGGUAAUACGGAGGGUGCGAGCGUUAAUCGGAAUUACUGGGCGUAAAGCGCGCGUAGGUGGCUUGAUAAGCCGGUUGUGAAAGCCCCGGGCUCAACCUGGGAACGGCAUCCGGAACUGUCGAGCUAGAGUGCAGGAGAGGAAGGUAGAAUUCCCGGUGUAGCGGUGAAAUGCGUAGAGAUCGGGAGGAAUACCAGUGGCGAAGGCGGCCUUCUGGACUGACACUGACACUGAGGUGCGAAAGCGUGGGUAGCAAACAGGAUUAGAUACCCUGGUAGUC